UGCGGGGCUAUGUGCUGGGCAGCAGACAGCAAAUAACCCCAGCUACCUGCGCUGCGUUGGGAGACCCUUAUCAAGCAGUGGAUUGACAAAGGCCUGUACAUGUAAAUGUUUUUUUCAGUGCUGCUAUCGCUUUAUGAUGGUUGGUACUCGAAUCCUCAUUCGUAAAAUUUCAUGUGAAGAAGCAUUAUGCAUACAUAUAGUCUGUGUGUUCCCAAUGCCAUUUCUGAAUCCUUAAUUAAAGUAUAUGGCUGAUGUGCCCCUGCACAGUUUGAAGCCAACUCUCGAUGCUGUGUGUCCUUUACAGGGGGAAGAGGGGCCUCUGGGCCCAAAUGGGCAUUGUGGUCUUCCAGGAUCCAUUGGCCAGCUGGGUCUACCAGGCAUAGAGGGAGUGAAGGGCUUCAAGUUAGAGGAUGGACCGCAAGGAGAUGAGGGACCCAAGGGAUUGCAAGGCCCUGUGGGAGACUUUGGACCAAAAGGCCCACCAGGAGACAUAGUAAGGUUAACCCAUGGUCUGAUUGUUAUGCUGCUGUUGAAUCAUAUGAUUGUGAAAUAACUUUAACUCGGAUGGUGGUGGACAGAUUGGAAUGGUGAAAAUGGGACUGCUGCUGUGGGGUUGAUGGGGCCUGCUGGCUUUCCUGUGAGUUGAGUCUCUUCCAUUUAAUUAUUCGAACAGAAGAUUUAUCAUUAUCAGUUCAAUGGUUUUUUUUUGUGAAAUUACUCUAACAAGAAUACAUUUUAUUUUUUUCAGGGAUCAACGGGAGAAUUGGGAGAAAUUGGCGAAAAGGUGAGAAAGUGCAAAUGACAUUAUUUUAUUUGCACAUUUUCCACAACUGUGUAAACGGGAAUAGCUAUUACUCCCCUGACAAAGGUAACACGUGUGAUUGAGUGUAAGUGAAUCAAGCUGCAGGGUCUUCCCCCACUUUGUUGGGUCUUCCUCUUGACAGGGUCCCAAAGGCUUCCUUGGGCAUCAGGGGGACGUAGGUGACCCUAGAGAUGAGGGGGACCCGGUGAGAACAACUGCACACCUCCCUCAGUGAUUCACACAACCCUCCCUCGCCAGGGCUUAAUUUAUCACUCAGUAUUUUCUGGGUCACUGGUCGCCUAGAGUAGGCACGUGACUCGUAGCCACCAAUAGCGAGAGGUAUACUGGAUAUGGUGUGUUAAGUGCGUAUAUAUUUUCCAGGUCACCGACCCGGACAGACACAGCUGAAACUCAGCUCUAUCCGUCGUCUACUAUGAUUAAACAAUGAACACAAACACGACUUAUGAAUAAUUUUUCAAACAAACCUUUUAAGCUGUGUGUGUACAUUUAUAAAACAAGAGCGACACUUGGUUAUGUACAGUAAAAAAUAAGUAACAAAGUGCAAAUCGUGUAUGUGUUUUUUUUGCGUUGAUUGUUACCAUGUUAUUGGAGUGGUCGUGCAGUGGUUCGCACAACUCACUUUGAACCUGGCAACCAGAGUUUGAUUCCUGGUUACUUCAGCGGGGGUCAUGGGCCUCCUACCUGCACCAACCUGCACUGAUCAUCAUGGUGAAGUAUGGGCAAAAAAAAUCCAUGAUCGAUAUAGUGCCUGGAGGUCUUCAUCCAUCAGUGAACGGACAACGGACUGCAUAUGUAUUAUUAAUGUUGCUGUGGGUAAUUAAUGUUUGUAUUCAGGGUGAGGAAUCAGGACAACAGGGAAUGAUGGAGCCCAUGGGCUACCCGGGGCCUGAAGGUCCCUUGGUGAGUCACUUCUGGUCCAUGUGGCACAGUAAACACACUUUCAGAAAUCGUAAAUAUGACUAAAAAAUUAAGUUAAAUGAUUUAAAAAUGUAUAUACGUUCAUAUUUACAUUUCUCAGGGUGAUAGAGGACUACCAGCACCACCAAAGUUGGACCUGAGUUUUUCGUUCCUCUAUCCGAAUUUAUUUAUUUUGUUACACACAAUAAUGUCUGUCUGCUGAAUUCUUCAUUCAAAAAGACCAGUAAAAAAACACCUAAACCCAUGAUAUAUAUUCAUAAUGAAGCCUUAUUUUGAUGUACAGGAAUGUGACAUGUUGAACAUCAUCAAAGAGAUGUGCUGUAAGUUUUCCAAACAUAAUUUUAAAAUACUUGACUGGUAAACUUUUCAAAUACAAUAAUGUAUGGUGUGUUUAAUUAAAUGCCGUAAAUUAGUGUUUAAAUGUUCUGUAUCUUGUUUAUGACUAAUUUGAAAAUAUAUUUUUUUAUCUUGUCCAACUUGUUGUGGUAAGUACCUUACUAUUGCAUUUUUUUAUCAUUCCAUAAUAACCCUAAGUGUAAUUACAUAUUAACAAUAAGGCGAUGGUAUACACAAAUCACGACCUCGUGCAGGGUGCUGUCAUCGGCACUAGAGAGACAAAGGAAGCCGUUUGUCUUGCUGGCUUCAUCUCCUCAUAGGGUUGCCACCUGCCCUGGUUUUCUCAAGAUUGUCUUUUUGUUGAGGGUAGCUGUCCUGGAAGCUCUGUAAAGUCUUCCCAGCACAUUUAAAGUGCCAGUUUUGUCAGUUGCAUAGUAACAAUAAUAAUACACCACUCAAGACGAUGUAUUCAAGUGUAGUUCUCCCAUUUUCUGAUAUUGUAAGAUAUCCUUCUUCCCUGAUUUUUUAUACCUUACAGGUGGCAACUCUACCUCCGCCACUUGUGUCCUUUGCCCACCUUGAUACAUGCUCAUUAACAACAUAUUCCCCAACAGUCUAUCUGGCUAAAAAGGGGGUGUAUGUCUUGUGUGCGUACGCCCAUUGAAGAAUGCAAGUGUGGCCCAGUGGAGCUGGUGUUUGUUCUGGACAGCUCUGAAAGUAUCGGACUGGAGAGCUUCUCUCUCUCCAAGGAAUUCAUUAUCCACACCCUGAACCGCGUCGUUGCGAACGGAAAUGUCAAGGUGGCACAUCUCACACAGACAACCGAGGGGAUUUUCUGUCCUCCUGUCUUUUUUGUUGUUCUCCAAGGUGAAAUAACAGCUCGGAAAGAAUGUCGUGUUGCUGCAGUUAGAAAACCAAAAUUGGAAAAAUGUAUGACUUCAACUUUUUUUGUUUCCACGUCUCUGUUAAUCUACUGCUAAAAUCCUCCCCACACCGUGUCAGACCUAGUGGGAGUUUACAAACCAUACUUCACCACGCUGAUCAGUGCGAGUUGGUGAAGGAGGGAGUCCAAGACCAGUUUGCAUGUCACUCACCACUGGUGUUAGCCAUAAACAGGAAUCAAAUUCAGGUCGACGGGUUCAUAGCACAGUGUGGUUACCACUCUGCCACUGCUCCACCUUAAAUUAAAUAUUGUGGAUAUUCAUGAGAAACACCGUUCUUCUGAAUGAGCUGUGUGACAUCAAGCAGUUUUGAUUAUAAAAUGUGUAAACUAGAGAGGUAACAAUAGGGUUUUUCCCCUUUUUUCUGGCAACAAAACU
Molecule: long non-coding RNA, 3396 nt
Organism: Petromyzon marinus (sea lamprey)
Lineage: Eukaryota; Metazoa; Chordata; Hyperoartia; Petromyzontiformes; Petromyzontidae
Source: RefSeq, a predicted model, not a curated record